This 508-nucleotide ribosomal RNA is filed under the name Salmonella enterica subsp. enterica. Its description in RNAcentral is "partial 23S ribosomal RNA". It matches the Rfam family "Bacterial large subunit ribosomal RNA", at positions 711 to 1217 of the family's 2925-position model. Lineage: Bacteria; Pseudomonadati; Pseudomonadota; Gammaproteobacteria; Enterobacterales; Enterobacteriaceae. The record is from RNAcentral.
AGACCCGAAACCCGGUGAUCUAGCCAUGGGCAGGUUGAAGGUUGGGUAACACUAACUGGAGGACCGAACCGACUAAUGUUGAAAAAUUAGCGGAUGACCUGUGGCUGGGGGUGAAAGGCCAAUCAAACCGGGAGAUAGCUGGUUCUCCCCGAAAGCUAUUUAGGUAGCGCCUCGUGAAUUCAUCUCCGGGGGUAGAGCACUGUUUCGGCUAGGGGGUCAUCCCGACUUACCAACCCGAUGCAAACUGCGAAUACCGGAGAAUGUUAUCACGGGAGACACACGGCGGGUGCUAACGUCCGUCGUGAAGAGGGAAACAACCCAGACCGCCAGCUAAGGUCCCAAAGUCAUGGUUAAGUGGGAAACGAUGUGGGAAGGCCCAGACAGCCAGGAUGUUGGCUUAGAAGCAGCCAUCAUUUAAAGAAAGCGUAAUAGCUCACUGGUCGAGUCGGCCUGCGCGGAAGAUGUAACGGGGCUAAACCAUGCACCGAAGCUGCGGCAGCGACACUCA